GUUUGAUGAACCGUUUUGGUAGCGAUACCGAUGUAUUGGAUCGAUCGCUAUUUUUUACUAUCAAUUUAACUACAGAUACUUUAUUACAAUUGAUUGGUAUGAUAAUAACCAUAUCGAUAAAGACACCAUUGUUUUUGGCACCACUGGCACUGGUAGCUGUUAUUUACUAUAUAGUCCAGUUUAUUUACAUUAAAACUUCACGACA
Oppia nitens is the source of this 205-nucleotide long non-coding RNA. RefSeq lists it as uncharacterized. The record is from RefSeq and is a predicted model, not a curated record. NCBI's taxonomy places the organism in Eukaryota, Metazoa, Arthropoda, Arachnida, Sarcoptiformes, Oppiidae. The transcript is spliced from 3 exons.